CCCCGUGUGGAGAACCUGAAGGCACGACAUUGCUCACAUUGCUUCCAGUAUUACUUUAGCCAGCCUCUGCUGGCUUUUUUUU
This 82-nucleotide non-coding RNA is filed under the name Citrobacter rodentium ICC168. The record is from RNAcentral. Lineage: Bacteria; Pseudomonadati; Pseudomonadota; Gammaproteobacteria; Enterobacterales; Enterobacteriaceae.